AGUGAACGCUGGCGGUAGGCCUAACACAUGCAAGUCGAACGGCAGCACAGUAAGAGCUUGCUCUUACGGGUGGCGAGUGGCGGACGGGUGAGGAAUACAUCGGAAUCUACUUUUUCGUGGGGGAUAACGUAGGGAAACUUACGCUAAUACCGCAUACGACCUACGGGUGAAAGCAGGGGAUCUUCGGACCUUGCGCGAUUGAAUGAGCCGAUGUCGGAUUAGCUAGUUGGCGGGGUAAAGGCCCACCAAGGCGACGAUCCGUAGCUGGUCUGAGAGGAUGAUCAGCCACACUGGAACUGAGACACGGUCCAGACUCCUACGGGAGGCAGCAGUGGGGAAUAGUGGACAAUGGGGGCAAGCCUGAUCCAGCCAUACCGCGUGGGUGAAGAAGGGCUUCGGGUUGUAAAGCCCUUUUGUUGGGAAAGAAAAGCAGCAGGUUAAUACCCCGCUGUUCUGACGGUACCCAAAGAAUAAGCACCGGCUAACUUCGUG
Molecule: ribosomal RNA, 492 nt
Filed under: uncultured bacterium
Lineage: Bacteria
Description: partial 16S ribosomal RNA
Rfam family: Bacterial small subunit ribosomal RNA
Source: RNAcentral